UACGUCGAAGAGAACUAUUGGAGCCUA
RNAcentral lists this small RNA (27 nucleotides) under Bombyx mori (domestic silkworm). Its description in RNAcentral is "ovarian small RNA-21173". Lineage: Eukaryota; Metazoa; Arthropoda; Insecta; Lepidoptera; Bombycidae. The record is from RNAcentral.